GAUGAACGCUGGCGGCGUGCCUAACACAUGCAAGUCGAACGAACGGACCAGGAGUUUGCUUCUCUGAUGUUAGCGGCGGAGGGGAGAGUCACAUGUGUAUAGCCUACCUAUAAGACUGGGAUAACUACGGGAAACCGGAUCUUAGACCGGAUGAUAUUUUGCACCGCGUUGUUCAAGAGUUAGAUACGGUCUUUCGGUCGCUUAUAGAUGCAUCCGCGCUGAAUUAGCUGGUUGUUAAGGUAACGGCUUAGCAAGGCAACGAUGCAUAGCCGACCUGAGAGAGUGGUAGGACACCUGGGAAGUGAGACAGAGCCACGACUCCUGCGGUAGGCAGCAGUAGGGACUCGUACGCAAUGGGGGAGAGCCUGACGGAGCAGAGCCGGGUGAGUGCUGAAGGUCCUGGGAUCGGAAAACUAUGUUAUUAGGGGAGAACAUAUGUGUAAGUAACCGUGAAGAUAUUGACGGUACCUAGUCAGAAAGCCACGGCUAACUACGUG
This 497-nucleotide ribosomal RNA is filed under the name uncultured bacterium. RNAcentral describes it as "partial 16S ribosomal RNA". It matches the Rfam family "Bacterial small subunit ribosomal RNA", at positions 28 to 507 of the family's 1533-position model. The record is from RNAcentral.